UAUUAGAUAGUUUAAAUAAAAUAAUAAAUUUGGAGUUUAUAGUUAGCGCAGUCUUCUGAUAA
RNAcentral lists this transfer RNA (62 nucleotides) under Ciona intestinalis (vase tunicate). Its description in RNAcentral is "transfer RNA-Pro". The record is from RNAcentral. Lineage: Eukaryota; Metazoa; Chordata; Ascidiacea; Phlebobranchia; Cionidae.